This 64-nucleotide transfer RNA is filed under the name Altiverruca navicula. RNAcentral describes it as "tRNA-Pro". Lineage: Eukaryota; Metazoa; Arthropoda; Thecostraca; Verrucomorpha; Verrucidae. The record is from RNAcentral.
CAAAAAAUAGUUUUAUAAAAAUAUAAGUUUUGGAAAUUUAUGAUACUAAUUUUAGUUUUUUUGA